This 421-nucleotide ribosomal RNA is filed under the name uncultured archaeon. RNAcentral's name for it is "partial 16S ribosomal RNA". It matches the Rfam family "Archaeal small subunit ribosomal RNA", at positions 323 to 746 of the family's 1478-position model. The record is from RNAcentral.
CUACGGGCCGCUCCAGUCGAGGAAAUUUUACAAUGCUCGAAAGAGUGAUAAAAUAAACCAGAGUGUUUCUCCUAGAGAAACUUUUGUAUGUUGUAAAAGGACAUGCGAAUAAGGACUGGGCAAGACCGGUGCCAGGCCGCCGCGGUAAUACCGGCGGUCCAAGUCGCAUCCACAUUUAUUGGGUCUAAAACAUUCGUAGCUUGUUUUGCAAGUCUCUUGUGAAAUCCUAUAUCUCAAAUAUAGGGCGGGCAAGAGAUACUGCUUUACUAGAGACCGGAAGACGUAAGGAGUACGAUUAAGGUAGCGGUAAAAUGUGUUAAUCUUUGUCGGACUAACAAUGGCGAAGGCACCUUACGAGUACGGAUCUGACAGUGAGGAAUGAAGGCUAGGGGCGCAAAACGGAUUAGAUACCCCAGUAGUC